GAUGAACGCUGGCGGCGUGCCUAAUACAUGCAAGUCGAGCGAACAGACGAGGAGCUUGCUCCUCUGACGUUAGCGGCGCACGGGUGAGUAACACGUGUAUAACCUACCUAUAAGACUGGUAUAACUUCGGGAAACCGGAGCUAAUACCGGAUAAUAUAUUGAACCGCAUGGUUCAAUAGUGAAUGACGGUUUUGCUGUCACUUAUAGAUGCAUCCGGGCCGCAUUGGCUAGUUGGUAAGGUAACGGCUUACCAAGGCAACGAUGCGUGGCCGACCGGAGAGGGGGAUAGGCCACACUGGAACUGGAACGCGGUCCAGGGUCCUACGGGAGGCAGCAGUAGGGAAUCGUCCGCAAUGGGCGAAAGCUUGACGGAGCAACGCCGCGUGAGUGAUGAAGGUCUUCGGUGCGUAAAACUCUGUUAUUAGGUAAGAACCAAUGUGGAAGGAGAUAUGCCCGUCUUGACGGUAACUAAUCAGAAAGCAACGGCUAACUACGUG
This 497-nucleotide ribosomal RNA is filed under the name uncultured bacterium. Its description in RNAcentral is "partial 16S ribosomal RNA". It matches the Rfam family "Bacterial small subunit ribosomal RNA", at positions 28 to 507 of the family's 1533-position model. The record is from RNAcentral.